AUGGGCGUCGGCACGUUCCAGUACGUGGUGACGGUGAGCCUGGGCACGCCCGGCGUGUCGCAGACGAUGGAGGUGGACACGGGCAGCGACGUGUCGUGGGUGCAGUGCAAGCCCUGCGCCGCGCCGGCGUGCUACAGCCAGAGGGACCAGCUCUUCGACCCGGCCAAGUCGUCCACCUACUCCGCCGUGCCGUGCGGCGCGGGCGCGUGCUCGGACCUUGGGAUCUACCAGGCCGGCUGCUCGGGGACUCAGUGCGGGUACGUGGUCAGCUACGGCGACGGGUCCAACACCACCGGCGUGUACGGCUCCGACACGCUGGCGCUGACGCCGGGCAGCACGGUGGGCACGUUCCUCUUCGGCUGCGGUCACGCGCAGGCGGGGCUGUUCGCCGGCAUCGACGGGCUCCUCGCGCUCGGCCGGCAGGCCAUGUCGCUCAAGUCGCAGGCGUCGGGCGCGUACGGCGGGGUCUUCUCCUACUGCCUCCCUUCCAAGCCGAGCUCCGCGGGGUACCUGACGCUGGGCGGGCCGAGCAGCGCGUCGGGGUUCGCGACGACGGGGCUGCUGACGGCGUGGUCCGCGCCGACGUUCUACAUGGUGAUGCUCGCGGGCAUCAGCGUGGGCGGGCAGCCGGUGGCCGUCCCGGCGUCGGCGUUCGCGGGAGGGACGGUGGUGGACACGGGCACGGUGAUCACGCGGCUGCCG
This 702-nucleotide ribosomal RNA is filed under the name Triticum aestivum (bread wheat). RNAcentral describes it as "partial small subunit ribosomal RNA". The record is from RNAcentral. Lineage: Eukaryota; Viridiplantae; Streptophyta; Magnoliopsida; Poales; Poaceae.